This 343-nucleotide long non-coding RNA is filed under the name Ananas comosus (pineapple). Its description in RNAcentral is "long non-coding RNA (ACOM_LNC025961)". The record is from RNAcentral. Lineage: Eukaryota; Viridiplantae; Streptophyta; Magnoliopsida; Poales; Bromeliaceae.
UAACCAGGAUACAACCACUAUAAAUGAAUAUACAACAUUCAUACAUUCAGAUGUUCAUACACCAUUCGUCACAGAUUCAUAUUCAGAAUUUAAUCAUAAAACAACAACUAUUAGUUAAAACGUUUCCUACUCGGAAACAGGCUUUGAAAUACUAAGUUACAAAAACCACGAGAAAACCUUUUAAAACUGUUUCCCACACGGAAACUCUUUUCUUUUAAAACACGCUACCAUGAGGGGUAGAAAACCAUUUCCACUUCAUAGAAAUUCACAAAUCUUUAUUAUAUUCAGAAAACCAACUAAAAUCUUGAACAUUCAAACAUAAUGAAAUACUGAAUCAUAUUAG